RNAcentral lists this ribosomal RNA (434 nucleotides) under uncultured Clostridium sp. Its description in RNAcentral is "partial 16S ribosomal RNA". It matches the Rfam family "Bacterial small subunit ribosomal RNA", at positions 341 to 792 of the family's 1533-position model. The record is from RNAcentral. Lineage: Bacteria; Bacillati; Bacillota; Clostridia; Eubacteriales; Clostridiaceae.
ACGGAAGGCAGCAGUGGGGGAUAUUGCACAAUGGGGGGAACCCUGAUGCAGCGACGCCGCGUGAGUGAAGAAGUAUUUCGGUAUGUAAAGCUCUAUCAGCAGGAAAGAUAAUGACGGUACCUGACUAAGAAGCACCGGCUAAAUACGUGCCAGCAGCCGCGGUAAUACGUAUGGUGCAAGCGUUAUCCGGAUUUACUGGGUGUAAAGGGAGCGCAGACGGCAUGGCAAGCCAGAUGUGAAAGGUGGGGGCUCAACCCCCAAGCUGCAUUUGGAACUGUCAAGCUAGAGUAUAGGAGAGGUAAGUGGAAUUCCUAGUGUAGCGGUGAAAUGCGUAGAUAUUAGGAGGAGCACCAGUGGCGAAGGCGGCUUACUGGACGAUAACUGACGUUGAGGCUCGAAAGCGUGGGGAGCAAACAGGAUUAGAUACCCUGGUA